RNAcentral lists this ribosomal RNA (448 nucleotides) under uncultured bacterium. Its description in RNAcentral is "bacterial SSU rRNA". It matches the Rfam family "Bacterial small subunit ribosomal RNA", at positions 329 to 794 of the family's 1533-position model. The record is from RNAcentral.
CCCCAGACUCCUACGGGAGGCAGCAGUGGGGAAUAUUGCACAAUGGGGGAAACCCUGAUGCAGCGACGCCGCGUGAGUGAAGAAGUACUUCGUUAUGUAAAGCUCUAUCAGCAGGGAAGAAAAUGACGGUACCUGACUAAGAAGCCCCGGCUAACUACGUGCCAGCAGCCGCGGUAAUACGUAGGGGGCAAGCGUUAUCCGGAUUUACUGGGUGUAAAGGGAGCGUAGACGGUCCUGCAAGCCAGAUGUGAAAGCCCGGGGCUCAACCCCGGGACUGCAUUUGGAACUGUAAGGCUAGAGUGUCGGAGAGGCAGGCGGAAUUCCUAGUGUAGCGGUGAAAUGCGUAGAUAUUAGGAGGAACACCAGUGGCGAAGGCGGCCUGCUGGACGACAACUGACGGUGAGGCGCGAAAGCGUGGGGAGCAAACAGGAUUAGAUACCCGAGUAGC